Molecule: long non-coding RNA, 257 nt
Filed under: Gossypium raimondii (Peruvian cotton)
Lineage: Eukaryota; Viridiplantae; Streptophyta; Magnoliopsida; Malvales; Malvaceae
Description: long non-coding RNA (GRAI_LNC009805)
Source: RNAcentral
AUUAUUGAACCAUGUAGGGUUGUUUUCGGACAGACAUUGUAAGGGUGUUAUAACUUUUCUUGUUUGUAAUUGUAACCUUGGAUUUAGAAUUCGGCGACAAGACUAAGUCUUGGUUUUUAGGAUUUUUCUUAGGUUUAGUUUUAAAAAUUUAUUAGUCACCUAUCAUCCAAGUAUUAGGAUUAUUUGAGGUUUUCUAUUUAGGAUUGUGUAUUUUAUAGUAGGUUAGCUUAUUUCUUAAUUUCUUACUUUAAUUUUUU